AAUUUUAUAGUCUAAGAAGGAUUCUGAAUUGCAAAUUCAGGGGUAAAAUUAAUUUUUAAAGUUU
This 64-nucleotide transfer RNA is filed under the name Ips nitidus. Its description in RNAcentral is "tRNA-Cys". The record is from RNAcentral. Lineage: Eukaryota; Metazoa; Arthropoda; Insecta; Coleoptera; Curculionidae.